AGAUUGAACGCUGGCGGCAUGCCUAACACAUGCAAGUCGAACGGUAACGCGGGGGGCAACCCUGGCGACGAGUGGCGGACGGGUGAGUAAUACGUAGGAAUCUGCCCAUUUGUGGGGGAUAACCCGGCGAAAGCCGGGCUAAUACCGCAUACGCUCUACGGAGGAAAGCGGGGGAUCGCAAGACCUCGCGCUAAUGGAUGAGCCUACGUCGGAUUAGCUAGUUGGUAGGGUAACGGCCUACCAAGGCGACGAUCCGUAGCUGGUCUGAGAGGACGAUCAGCCACACUGGGACUGAGACACGGCCCAGACUCCUACGGGAGGCAGCAGUGGGAAUAUUGGACAAGUGGGGGCAACCCUGAUCCAGCAAUGCCGCGUGUGUGAAGAAGGCCGUGGCGGGUUGUAAAGCUACUUUCGAGUAGGGAAAGAAAAAAGUCGGAACGCUAAACACCGUACCGAGCUUAGACCGUUACCCAUAGAAGAAGCACCGGACUAACGUCCGU
This 500-nucleotide ribosomal RNA is filed under the name uncultured soil bacterium. RNAcentral's name for it is "bacterial SSU rRNA". It matches the Rfam family "Bacterial small subunit ribosomal RNA", at positions 26 to 506 of the family's 1533-position model. The record is from RNAcentral.